GACCCCUUCGUCUAGUGGCCCAGGACUCUGCCUUUUCAAGGCAGCAACAGAGGUUCAAAUCCUCUAGGGGUCGCCA
RNAcentral lists this transfer RNA (76 nucleotides) under Campylobacteraceae bacterium. RNAcentral describes it as "tRNA-Glu". It matches the Rfam family "tRNA". From Rfam's summary of the family: Transfer RNA (tRNA) molecules are approximately 80 nucleotides in length. Their secondary structure includes four short double-helical elements and three loops (D, anti-codon, and T loops). Further hydrogen bonds mediate the characteristic L-shaped molecular structure. tRNAs have two regions of fundamental functional importance: the anti-codon, which is responsible for specific mRNA codon recognition, and the 3' end, to which the tRNAs corresponding amino acid is attached (by aminoacyl-tRNA synthetases). tRNAs cope with the degeneracy of the genetic code in two manners: having more than one tRNA (with a specific anti-codon) for a particular amino acid; and 'wobble' base-pairing, i.e. permitting non-standard base-pairing at the 3rd anti-codon position. Lineage: Bacteria; Pseudomonadati; Campylobacterota; Epsilonproteobacteria; Campylobacterales; Campylobacteraceae. The record is from RNAcentral.